This 206-nucleotide ribosomal RNA is filed under the name uncultured bacterium. RNAcentral describes it as "partial 16S ribosomal RNA". It matches the Rfam family "Bacterial small subunit ribosomal RNA", at positions 1296 to 1500 of the family's 1533-position model. The record is from RNAcentral.
GACUGUAGGCUGCAACUCGCCUACACGAAGUCGGAAUCGCUAGUAAUCGCGGAUCAGCAUGCCGCGGUGAAUACGUUCCCGGGCCUUGUACGCACCGCCCGUCACACCACGGGAGUUUGUAACGCCCAAAGUCGGUGGCCUAACCUUUAUGGAGGGAGCCGCCUAAGGCGGGACAGAUGACUGGGGUGAAGUCGUAACAAGGUACC